UUGGCUCCUAGCACAUGUCUGCUCACAAC
Molecule: non-coding RNA, 29 nt
Filed under: Rattus norvegicus (Norway rat)
Lineage: Eukaryota; Metazoa; Chordata; Mammalia; Rodentia; Muridae
Source: RNAcentral